UUCCAUAAUGCCACCUAAAAUAACAUGACCACUUGGGCCAAAAAAAAAAAAAAAUGGAGUUCCAUGAAAGCACAUUUGGCAGAUUCAUAUUUGGAUUUUGGAACACUUCGAACUGAGUAGAGCACCAUCUACUGUCAAGGUCGCUGUGAGCAAACGCAUGGCUCCAAGGCCAAAAUCAUCAAAUAACUUGCCGCAUAGAACCUUAGAACUUCGAUCCAAUUCACAAGGAGUCUCAAAGGUUAGCUACAUCUCUUAAGUCAAUAAUAAUACCAAGCAUAUCCGAUUUCGGGGAAAUAGCUCGCAGCAUCGAUGGGGGAUAAGAGCUGAAGAAAGCCAAUCAAAGGAUAAAAUCAAUUUUCGACUAGUAUAGGGGGCGAUACAAAAAAGGUGGAUUGGGCAAGAGAUGGAGAUGGUGUCAAAGAUCAACGGGAAAGGAGGUCUCUUCAAUGGGUGCUUCGGGUGACCGACAAAACUGACCAAAAUAAUUAUACAUAGUCAAAGAUGAGUCAACUGUUCAUUCCGAGUUACUGUUCAUUCGUGGGGAAAAAGACGAUUUUGCUCUCAUUUGACUUUUUUUACGGCUCUGCCACUGCCUCUUUUUUCUUCUCUCUUCCUCCCUUCUGCCUCCCAGACCGAGUUUUUUCCUCUCUCUCUUCCCCCCUCUGCCUCCUAAACCGAACAGCAGCAGCUGCGUGAGGUAAUGAAUUCCUUGCUACGUUUUGGUUGUUUUUGCUUCUCCACUUCGUUGUUUGGUUAGCUUGGUUUAAUAUAGCUUGAGAAAUUUGAUUUGGGUUUGUGAAAGAAUAAAGAUUGAUUCUUUUCUUAUGUAAAUUGAGGGAAUUGAUGGGAAUUUGAAGAAAUGGAUUUUAAAGUUUGCUAGAGCACAGAGCAGAUCUCAGCCAUCACUAUUCACUAAUUAGGUAGCUGUGAAAGGAUUUGCAUAAGAACUUCCAAGCAGGUUUGAGCUCCCAUCUCCUUUAAUCCGGGUUGGAAAGUGAUUGGAACAGCAAGUAGUGCUUAAAAGAAGAGACUUGCAGAAAGUAGAGUUUCACUCAUUUUUCUUUUUAUACUUUGCGAUUCACGGCUUGACUUUGUGUUCUCUUUAUUUGCUUAAUGAGAUUUAGAUAUAUUUUAAUGCCUGUAUUCAUGUAUUAAAGUAGUGCUAGCAGAGUCAUGUGGCAGUUACGAUUACUUUAUUCAUUUUAUUUCCUGUUAUUUUCAUGUUCCUAGACAUUUUUGUUUUUUAUUUUUUGACUUUUCUUUCUCCUUUGGCUUUUGUUUCUGAUUAGAUUCAGUUUGUCUUCAAGUUAGAUUUUAUGCGCAAGGGUAUCUGAUUGAUUGCAGAUAGAGGUUUUACUCUUCUUCUUUUUUGUGUUGGAAGGUGAGUUGUUUAUUUGAGAGGUUUGGAUGAUACCGGUAUUGCUUUGUGUUUUUUUUUUUUUGGAUUUGGAGCUUAUUGUGAAAUUGUCUGAUAGAUAGUCUAGCACACCCAUUUCGAUCAGCUUCUUACUUCUCAAUUUGAGAGAGAAACAUUGCGGGGUAGAGAGAGAGAGAGAGCUUAAAGGAAGAGACUUGCAGAAAGUAGAAGCUCACUCAUUCUCCUUUUUACACAUUGCGAUUCACGGCUUCACUUUUUCUUCUCUUUAUUUGUUUAAUGGGAUUUAGAUUUGUUUCCGAACUUAGGGAGAUAUAUUUUAAUGCCUGCAUCCAUGUAUUAAAGUAGUUGUAGCAGUUACGUGGCAGUUAGGACUACUUUAUAAUGGGAUUUAAUUUUAUGUCCUGUUCUUUUCAUAUUCCUAAACAUUUUUAUUUUUUAUUUUUUGACUUCUCUUUCUUCUUUGGCUUUUGUUUCUGAUUAGAUUCAGUUUGUCUUCAAGUUAGAUUUUAUGCACAAGGGUGUGCACGUUAUUCUCCUGCCGCUGUUCCUUUGCGUAUUGUUUGGGAUUAUUUCAGUAUUGUUUUCUUCUUCAGAUAGAGGUUUUUCUCUUCUUCUUUUCUGUGUUGGAAGUGUAGUGCCUGCCUGCCUUUGUCUUUCUCCGUCUGGAAGGUGAGUUGUUUAUUUGAGAGGUUUGGAUGAAAAUUCCUCAUAACAGUCUUAAUGUACUUAGAUUGCAGUGUUUAUUAUGAUUUGAAGUGAAUCUAAAAUUCCUCUUCGUGUUUUGGGUCCCUCCUUUGCUUUUACACUUUAAAGCCCUUGCUGCCUAAAUUCAACAACACAUAAAUAGUCUGCUUAUGUCUAUGGUCUCAAUACUCAAAGUAAAGGAAGAUACUGUUUGUUUCGGUAAAAGUCAAAUUUGGUAUUCAAAUCGAUGGUAUAUUUAUCAUGUUUAUUAUGAUCAUCAUUGUUGUACAUGUUUAUAAAAUGAUAAAUCCUUGGUUUAACAGACAACUUUGUUUGAUGCCACUGAUAUAGACGUAAUCCAGGAUUCACUUGGUUGGAAAUGAAAUUUGUUAAUAUGAUUGUGGAAAUAAAUCCAAAAAUGGUGAUUGAAAGGAAGUUUUGUAAUAUGGUAAUCUCCUUUCUUUUUCUUUCUUUUUUUGGAUUAUAAUAUGGUAGGAAAUCUGGGAUUGUUCUCUGUUAUUUAGGCAAUUUAGGGAUACUUUCUUCCAAGGUUUUGGGAUGAGUUGAGUUUUUGUUCUUCCAAGGUUUGAUUUGUGUCUUUGUUUUAUAAUUUCUUCUAAUUGAUUGCCAUUUAAAGUCUGUAUUUAGUUGUUAGUAUUUAAAACACUGUUGAUUUUUCUGGCCUAAGAAAUAUGGAAGAAAUGUAUAGAUUGUUUACAGAGGACUCAAUAUCUUGGUUCGAAAUGACAUGCUGCAUUGUCAGUUUAUCCUCAUAUGAAAGGUUCUAAAGUUUGAUUGAAAUCAGUAAGGUUCGAAAGUUUGAAGCUGUAGUAGAAAGGAGAAGAAGAGGGAUUGAAAUCGACGAACAGAUGAAUUAGCUAGAUUUUGACCGGAAACCGGAAACCUCACUGACUGUACACACAACUCCAUCCAUUCAAGACAAAACUCCAUCAACAGCUAUUUCAGGAGCAUACUUCAAUUCAAUUUGUGCAUUGUAAUACAAAAUUUUGGCCAAAAUGUACCUCACUUCAGAACAUAAUUUCAAUAAAAACAAUUCCUUUGGAAUUUUUCCCUG
Molecule: long non-coding RNA, 3137 nt
Organism: Rosa rugosa (rugosa rose)
Lineage: Eukaryota; Viridiplantae; Streptophyta; Magnoliopsida; Rosales; Rosaceae
Exons: 4
Source: RefSeq, a predicted model, not a curated record